Molecule: long non-coding RNA, 440 nt
Organism: Erinaceus europaeus (western European hedgehog)
Lineage: Eukaryota; Metazoa; Chordata; Mammalia; Eulipotyphla; Erinaceidae
Exons: 2
Source: RefSeq, a predicted model, not a curated record
GGUUAUUGCCGGGGCUUGGUGCCUGCACCACAAAUCCACUGCUCCUGGAGACCAUUUUUUCCCUUUUGUUGCCCUUGUUGUUUUAUCAUUGUUGUGGUUAUCACUACCGUUGUUGUCAUUGCUGUUGUUGGAUAGGACAGAGAGAAAUGGAGAGAGGAGGGGAAGACAGAGAGGGGGAGAGAAAGACAGACACCUGCAGACCUGCUUCACCGCCUGUGAAGCGACUCCCCUGCAGGUGGGGAGCCGGGGGCUCGAACCAGGAUCUUUACACUGGUCUUUGCGCCACCUGCGCUUAACCCACUGCGUUACUGCCUGACUCCCAAAGUGUUGGACUCUUAAGUAUAAGGUCCCAAAUUCAAUCCCUGGCAUCACAUGUGCCAGAGAGAUACUCUGGUUCUCUCUCUAGCUCAUUAGUAAAUGAAUCUUUCAAAAAGAUAAAA